This 472-nucleotide ribosomal RNA is filed under the name uncultured bacterium. RNAcentral's name for it is "bacterial SSU rRNA". It matches the Rfam family "Bacterial small subunit ribosomal RNA", at positions 355 to 825 of the family's 1533-position model. The record is from RNAcentral.
UGGGGAAUAUUGGACAAUGGGGGCAACCCUGAUCCAGCAAUACCGCGUGUGUGAAGAAGGCCUAUGGGUUGUAAAGCACUUUCAGUAGGGAGGAGAAGUUCGUGGUUAAUACCCAUGAGCUGAGACGUUACCUACAGAAGAAGCACCGGCUAACUCUGUGCCAGCAGCCGCGGUAAUACAGAGGGUGCGAGCGUUAAUCGGAAUUACUGGGCGUAAAGCGCGUGUAGGUGGAUGAAUAAGUUGGAUGUGAAAGCCCCGGGCUCAACCUCGGAACUGCCUUCAAAACUGACAAGCUAGAGUAUGGUAGAGGGUGGUGGAAUUUCCUGUGUAGCGGUGAAAUGCGUAGAUAUAGGAAGGAACACCAGUGGCGAAGGCGACCACCUGGACUGAUACUGACACUGAGGUGCGAAAGCGUGGGGAGCAAACAGGAUUAGAUACCCCGGUAGUCCCUGAGCGGGCUGGCAAGGCGCAU